This 498-nucleotide ribosomal RNA is filed under the name uncultured bacterium. RNAcentral describes it as "partial 16S ribosomal RNA". It matches the Rfam family "Bacterial small subunit ribosomal RNA", at positions 30 to 523 of the family's 1533-position model. The record is from RNAcentral.
AUUGAACGCUGGCGGCAUGCCUUACACAUGCAAGUCGAACGGUAACAGGUCUUCGGAUGCUGACGAGUGGCGAACGGGUGAGUAAUACAUCGGAACGUGCCUAGUAGUGGGGGAUAACUACUCGAAAGAGUGGCUAAUACCGCAUGAGAUCUAAGGAUGAAAGCAGGGGAUCGCAAGACCUUGUGCUACUAGAGCGGCCGAUGGCAGAUUAGGAAGUUGGUGGGAUAAAAGCUUACCAAGCCGACGAUCUGUAGCUGGUCUGAGAGGACGAUCAGCCACACUGGGACUGAGACACGGCCCAGACUCCUACGGGGGGCAGCAGUGGGGAAUUUUGGACAAUGGGCGAAAGCCUGAUCCAGCAAUGCCGCGUGCAGGAUGAAGGCCCUCGGGUUGUAAACUGCUUUUGUACGGAACGAAAAGCCCCGGGUUAAUACCCUGGGGUCAUGACGGUACCGUAAGAAUAAGCACCGGCUAACUACGUGCCAGCCGCCGCCGUAA